ACUCAAAUGAAUUGACGGGGACCCGCACAAGCGGUGGAGCAUGUGGUUUAAUUCGAUGCUACGCGAAGAACCUUACCAAGGUUUGACAUCCCAGGAAAGCGCUAGAAACAGCGCCGUGCCUUUUAGGAACCUGGUGACAGGUGCUGCAUGGCCGUCGUCAGCUCGUGUCGUGAGAUGUUGGGUUAAGUCCCGCAACGAGCGCAACCCCUGUCGUCUGUUGGAUUUUUCAGGCGAGACUGCCCCGGCCAACGGGGAGGAAGGUGGGGUCGAAGUCAGGUCAGCAUGGCCCUUACACCUUGGGCUACACACGUGCUACAAUGGCCGGUACAACGCGCAAGAGCCAACCCGCGAGGGGGAGCUAAUCGCACCAAAACCGGUCUCAGUUCGGAUUGAAGGCUGCAACUCGCCUCCAUGAAGUUGGAAUCGCUAGUAACCGUGGGUCAGCAUACCACGGUGAAUACGUUCCCGGGUCUUGUACACACCGCCCGU
Molecule: ribosomal RNA, 489 nt
Filed under: uncultured bacterium
Lineage: Bacteria
Description: partial 16S ribosomal RNA
Rfam family: Bacterial small subunit ribosomal RNA
Source: RNAcentral